Molecule: long non-coding RNA, 455 nt
Organism: Etheostoma spectabile (orangethroat darter)
Lineage: Eukaryota; Metazoa; Chordata; Actinopteri; Perciformes; Percidae
Exons: 2
Source: RefSeq, a predicted model, not a curated record
UCCAAGCGAUGUUUGACAACACUCCCACUCAAAAAGCAAUAUUACAAAAUACUUUUGUAAACUCAUUUCAAGCACCAAAACAAAUGAGUGUAGGUAUGUUUUCACAGAGAUUUGAGAAAUAUUUCCGCUUUAGGGCAAAAUGAUCUCUUUAUACAUUGCUCUGGAACAAUUUGGGGCAUCACUAUACAGAAAGAUGAGUUUGUUCCAAACAUUUAGAUAUGAAACCCAUUGGGGAUCUAGUUAAAUGCGAAUUGGCUAAUAACUUUGAAAUGUUACCCGCCGAAGUUAAUUUCACCCUCAUUUGGCGGGUUUUAAUUCAAAGCACUAACAGUGGGCAAUACAGCAACGUAAAUUAAAGCCCUUUAAUUAAAGCAGGUGUGGUAAAAACACUACCACUUUGUCCAAAGCAGCCGCUAGAAUCAAGCCAAACUGAAAGUUACACAUAGCCACUUUAA